Long non-coding RNA from Catharus ustulatus (Swainson's thrush), 579 nucleotides. RefSeq lists it as uncharacterized. The record is from RefSeq and is a predicted model, not a curated record. The transcript is spliced from 5 exons. Lineage: Eukaryota; Metazoa; Chordata; Aves; Passeriformes; Turdidae.
UAUCUUGAAGAAACAUCCUUCUUACUUUGCUUGGUAUGUGGUACAUCAGUGUGAAAACCAGGAGCUGUCCAAGAAGAGGGACAAUCCUACUCUGUUGUCAGCCAUUUAGCUCACUGCUCUUCCACCAGCUGGAUGUCCUGGCCUUUAUCAAGGUAAAGGCAAGGAUGUGGUUUGAACCUGAGAUUACCAGAAUGAAUCUGCUGCCCUGACAGUAAAAGUAAACACAAGAAUGGAUGACUCAGGGCUGUGAUGUGAUGAAGUUGAAGAUGGUUUGCCUCAGAAGAGCGGAGGGGAGUAGCCUAGGGAAGUAGACAGAGUAUGAGCAUACCUGUGGCACUUCGGGAUGAUGCUGAUUCAACAAUAAGCUGAAAAGCAGCUGAAUGACAACAAGCAGGUGAGAACAUCUAUAUGAUACAUCAAGCAAGACAGUUGCCAUUAUGAACAAAACAUAAAAGAGUGUGACAGAGCUGAAAAAUGGAAGGAAUGUUCUGUUCAUACCUUGCAGGCAUUGUUAUUUUUUGAUAGUGAAAUGAAGCUUGCUGUGGAGAGGGGUAUGUCUUGUUGUCAUUGUAGGUAACA